GCCUGGGUGGCUCAGUCGGUUGAGCGUCCGACUUCGGCUCAGGUCAUGAUCUCAUGGCUCAUGAGUUCAAGCCCCAUGUCAGGCU
RNAcentral lists this transfer RNA (85 nucleotides) under Felis catus (domestic cat). It matches the Rfam family "tRNA". From Rfam's summary of the family: Transfer RNA (tRNA) molecules are approximately 80 nucleotides in length. Lineage: Eukaryota; Metazoa; Chordata; Mammalia; Carnivora; Felidae. The record is from Rfam by way of RNAcentral.